GGUCAGGCGGGACUACCCGCUGAGU
RNAcentral lists this ribosomal RNA (25 nucleotides) under Chaetanthera microphylla var. microphylla. RNAcentral describes it as "partial large subunit ribosomal RNA". RNAcentral also lists the same sequence under 1 other name. Lineage: Eukaryota; Viridiplantae; Streptophyta; Magnoliopsida; Asterales; Asteraceae. The record is from RNAcentral.